AUUUAAAUAGCUUAAUUUAGAGUUUAAUAUUGAAGAUAUUAAGGUGAUUUUUUAAAUCUUUAAAUA
RNAcentral lists this transfer RNA (66 nucleotides) under Stictonectes samai. Its description in RNAcentral is "tRNA-Phe". The record is from RNAcentral. Lineage: Eukaryota; Metazoa; Arthropoda; Insecta; Coleoptera; Dytiscidae.